UCUGGGGGUGGUGGCACACACCUGUAAUCCCAGUGGCUUGGGAGGCUGAGGCAGGAGGAUUGCAAGUUCAAAGCCAGCCUCAGCACUCAGUGAGAUCCUGUCUCUA
RNAcentral lists this small RNA (106 nucleotides) under Marmota monax (woodchuck). The record is from RNAcentral. Lineage: Eukaryota; Metazoa; Chordata; Mammalia; Rodentia; Sciuridae.